GACGAACGCUGGCGGCGUGCUUAACACAUGCAAGUCGAACGAUGAUGCUGGAGCUUGCUCCAGUUGAUUAGUGGCGAACGGGUGAGUAACACGUGAGCAAUCUGCCCUUGACUCUGGGAUAACUGCGGGAAACUGUAGCUAAUACCGGAUACUUUCACCGGAAGGCAUCUUCUGGUGACGAAAGAAUUUCGGUCAGGGAUGAGCUCGCGGCCUAUCAGCUUGUUGGUGAGGUAACGGCUCACCAAGGCGACGACGGGUAGCCGGCCUGAGAGGAGGACCGGCCACACUGGGACUGAGACACGGCCCAGACUCCUACGGGAGGCAGCAGUGGGGAAUAUUGCACAAUGGGCGCAAGCCUGAUGCAGCAACGCCGCGGGAGGGAUGAAGGCCUUCGGGUUGUAAACCUCUUUUAGCAGGGAAGAAGCGAAAGUGACGGUACCUGCAGAAAAAGCACCGGCUAACUACGUGCCAGCCGCCGCGGUAA
RNAcentral lists this ribosomal RNA (484 nucleotides) under uncultured bacterium. RNAcentral's name for it is "partial 16S ribosomal RNA". It matches the Rfam family "Bacterial small subunit ribosomal RNA", at positions 28 to 523 of the family's 1533-position model. The record is from RNAcentral.